Molecule: long non-coding RNA, 424 nt
Organism: Homo sapiens (human)
Lineage: Eukaryota; Metazoa; Chordata; Mammalia; Primates; Hominidae
Gene: MPHOSPH6-DT
Product: MPHOSPH6 divergent transcript
Source: Ensembl
UUGCGCGCGGGCGCGGCCACUCAGCGGGCGCUCUGCUGACUGAGAGGCUCGGGUACUAGGGAAACCACCCCCGCCAUGGGUAUGCCCAAGACAACGAUAUGGAUCCUAAGUACUGUCAUAGAGAUGGAAGAUGUGGAAGGCAGCAUAAUCUGGAUUUAAAGCGCUCUGAGAUCCAUCCUUGGGAAAGUGACAGCUAAGCCGAAACCUCAAGAUGAGUUACACGUUUGUGAGACAAAAAAAUGGAAAGGGGCAUGGAGGAGUGAAGUCCAAUAGAAAAGGGUUAAAGUGAUGCUUGUUGUAUAGGUGACAAGUCUGGGGAGGCAAGUUACGGCCAGAUCUUAAAGGCCAUGUAUUAAAUUGGUAGGAUUUUAUCUGAAAGUUUCUGCAAGGCUAUUGAACUGUUUUAAGCAGUAGAGUGACACCG